UCUAUCUAGGAAGAUCUAUUGCACUCAUUAUGAUGCCUGCUGUCAUUACCAAUGCGUAAAUAGCCUGGACUCAUCUGGUUCUCCAAUACUCUUGACCCCAAGCAUACUUAUGAAAUGUGGAAUGGGAUAUAGCUUGGGAGUUUCUAGUUCUGGCACAGCAGUUUCUGGGAGUUUGGGACAAGAUCAGAGAGCUCACUGAAAGCGAAGCAGAGGAAUAAGAAAGAUGGAAGGCUGCGGUAACGUGUUACAUGGUUAUUGAUUGGGAGUCUCUAUGAGUUUUAUUUUCACCAGUCUGGAGUCAUCCAAUGAGAGGAAAAAUCUACAGUGCAUCACGCACGGAUAUGAGCUCAGGAGCUGCAGUUUCUUUUGAGGUUCUAAUUUGCUACAUAAUGUGGAUUGAGGUUUUCUUUCUUCUUUUUUUGUCUUUUAGUUCCUUUUAUCUGCAUUGUACAUUAACAUUUUCUUAAAGUUGUCGGUAGAUCAGCAGCUAUCUUGGAUUCAGUGCACCAAAAUAUUUUUGCAAUCAUGUUUUAGUU
This 536-nucleotide long non-coding RNA is filed under the name Phoenix dactylifera (date palm). RNAcentral describes it as "long non-coding RNA (PDAC_LNC021531)". Lineage: Eukaryota; Viridiplantae; Streptophyta; Magnoliopsida; Arecales; Arecaceae. The record is from RNAcentral.